RNAcentral lists this microRNA precursor (104 nucleotides) under Marmota monax (woodchuck). Lineage: Eukaryota; Metazoa; Chordata; Mammalia; Rodentia; Sciuridae. The record is from RNAcentral.
AGAGGGUUAGCUGGGUCAAAUGGUGGUUCUAUUCCAAGUUUUCUAAGGAAUCUCCAUACUGCUUUCCAGAUUGGGUUGCACCAAUUUGCACUCCCACCAGCAGU